This 85-nucleotide transfer RNA is filed under the name Antarcticibacterium flavum. RNAcentral describes it as "tRNA-Tyr". It matches the Rfam family "tRNA". Rfam says of the family: Transfer RNA (tRNA) molecules are approximately 80 nucleotides in length. Their secondary structure includes four short double-helical elements and three loops (D, anti-codon, and T loops). Lineage: Bacteria; Pseudomonadati; Bacteroidota; Flavobacteriia; Flavobacteriales; Flavobacteriaceae. RNAcentral also lists the same sequence under 1 other name. The record is from RNAcentral.
GGGGAGAUACUCAAGCGGCCAACGAGGGCAGACUGUAAAUCUGCUGACUAUGUCUUCACAGGUUCGAAUCCUGUUCUCCCCACUA